Molecule: ribosomal RNA, 253 nt
Filed under: uncultured bacterium
Lineage: Bacteria
Description: partial 16S ribosomal RNA
Rfam family: Archaeal small subunit ribosomal RNA
Source: RNAcentral
UACCCGCAGCUCAAGUGGUGGUCAUUAUUAUUGGGCCUAAAGCGUCCGUAGCAGGCUUGUUAGAUGCCUGGGUAAAUCGAUGCGCUUAACGCAUCGAAUUCCGGGUAGACCGGCAAGCUCGAGACCGGGAGAGGUGUAGGCUACUCGAGGGGUAGGGGUAAAAUCCUGUAAUCCUUCGGGGAGGACCAGUGGCGAAGGCGCUACACUAGACCGGCUCUGACUGUGAGGGACGAAGCCCUGGGGAGCAAACCGG